GUCGAACGAAACUUUCUUACACCGAAUGCUUGCAUUCACCGUAAGAAGUUGAGUGGCGGACGGGUGAGUAACACGUGGGUAACCUGCCUAAAAGAAGGGGAUAACACUUGGAAACAGGUGCUAAUACCGUAUAUCUCUAAGGAUCGCAUGAUCCUUAGAUGAAAGAUGGUUCUGCUAUCGCUUUUAGAUGGACCCGCGGCGUAUUAACUAGUUGGUGGGGUAACGGCCUACCAAGGUGAUGAUACGUAGCCGAACUGAGAGGUUGAUCGGCCACAUUGGGACUGAGACACGGCCCAAACUCCUACGGGAGGCAGCAGUAGGGAAUCUUCCACAAUGGACGCAAGUCUGAUGGAGCAACGCCGCGUGAGUGAAGAAGGUCUUCGGAUCGUAAAACUCUGUUGUUAGAGAAGAACACGAGUGAGAGUAACUGUUCAUUCGAUGACGGUAUCUAACCAGCAAGUCACGGCUAACUACGUGCCAGCAGCCGCGGUAAUACGUAGGUGGCAAGCGUUGUCCGGAUUUAUUGGGCGUAAAGGGAACGCAGGCGGUCUUUUAAGUCUGAUGUGAAAGCCUUCGGCUUAACCGGAGUAGUGCAUUGGAAACUGGAAGACUUGAGUGCAGAAGAGGAGAGUGGAACUCCAUGUGUAGCGGUGAAAUGCGUAGAUAUAUGGAAGAACACCAGUGGCGAAAGCGGCUCUCUGGUCUGUAACUGACGCUGAGGUUCGAAAGCGUGGGUAGCAAACAGGAUUAGAUACCCUGGUAGUCCACGCCGUAAACGAUGAAUGCUAGGUGUUGGAGGGUUUCCGCCCUUCAGUGCCGCAGCUAACGCAAUAAGCAUUCCGCCUGGGGAGUACGACCGCAAGGUUGAAACUCAAAGGAAUUGACGGGGGCCCGCACAAGCGGUGGARCAUGUGGUUUAAUUCGAAGCAACGCGAAGAACCUUACCRGGUCUUGACAUCCUUUGACCACCUAAGAGAUUAGGCUUUCCCUUCGGGGACAAAGUGACAGGUGGUGCAUGGCUGUCGUCAGCUCGUGUCGUGAGAUGUUGGGUUAAGUCCCGCAACGAGCGCAACCCUUGUUGUCAGUUGCCAGCAUUAAGUUGGGCACUCUGGCGAGACUGCCGGUGACAAACCGGAGGAAGGUGGGGACGACGUCAAGUCAUCAUGCCCCUUAUGACCUGGGCUACACACGUGCUACAAUGGACGGUACAACGAGUCGCGAGACCGCGAGGUUUAGCUAAUCUCUUAAAGCCGUUCUCAGUUCGGAUUGUAGGCUGCAACUCGCCUACAUGAAGUCGGAAUCGCUAGUAAUCGCGAAUCAGCAUGUCGCGGUGAAUACGUUCCCGGGCCUUGUACACACCGCCCGUCACACCAUGAGAGUUUGUAACACCCAAAGCCGGUGGGGUAACCGCAAGGAGCCAGCCGU
RNAcentral lists this ribosomal RNA (1425 nucleotides) under Ligilactobacillus salivarius. RNAcentral's name for it is "bacterial SSU rRNA". The record is from RNAcentral. Lineage: Bacteria; Bacillati; Bacillota; Bacilli; Lactobacillales; Lactobacillaceae.